UAGGGAAUCUUCGGCAAUGGGGGCAACCCUGACCGAGCAACGCCGCGUGAGUGAAGAAGGUUUUCGGAUCGUAAAGCUCUGUCGUAAGAGAAGAACGUGCGUGAGAGUGGAAGGUUCACACAGUGACGGUAACUUACCAGAAAGGGACGGCUAACUACGUGCCAG
RNAcentral lists this ribosomal RNA (165 nucleotides) under uncultured bacterium. Its description in RNAcentral is "partial 16S rRNA". It matches the Rfam family "Bacterial small subunit ribosomal RNA", at positions 355 to 511 of the family's 1533-position model. The record is from RNAcentral.